CCUACGGGUGGCAGCAGUGGGGAAUAUUGCGCAAUGGGCGAAAGCCUGACGCAGCGACGCCGCGUGAGGGAUGAAGGUCUUCGGAUCGUAAACCUCUGUCAGCAGGGAAGAACGGUCACUGUGCUAAUCAGCAGUGAAUUGACGUUACCUGCAAAGGAAGCACCGGCUAACUCCGUGCCAGCAGCCGCGGUAAUACGGAGGGUGCGAGCGUUAAUCGGAAUUACUGGGCGUAAAGCGCUCGUAGGCGGUAUGUCAAGUCAAGGGUGAAAUCCCCGCGCUCAACGUGGGAACUGCCUUUGAAACGGGCAAACUGGAGUGUGUGAGAGGAUAGUGGAAUUCCAGGGGUAGGAGUGAAAUGCGUAGAUAUCUGGAGGAACAUCAGUGGCGAAGGCGACUAUCUGGCACAUAACUGACGCUGAGGAGCGAAAGCGUGGGUAGCAAACAGGAUUAGAUACCCCUGUAGUC
This 465-nucleotide ribosomal RNA is filed under the name uncultured bacterium. RNAcentral's name for it is "partial 16S ribosomal RNA". It matches the Rfam family "Bacterial small subunit ribosomal RNA", at positions 338 to 795 of the family's 1533-position model. The record is from RNAcentral.